UACGGCGGUGCCUAGCGUUGUUCGGAAUUACUGGGCGUAAAGCGCGCGUAGGCGGAUUUGUAAGUCGGGGGUGAAAUCCCGGGGCUCAACCUCGGAACUGCCUUCGAUACUGCAAAUCUCGAGUCCGGAAGAGGUGAGUGGAAUUCCUAGUGUAGAGGUGAAAUUCGUAGAUAUUAGGAAGAACACCAGUGGCGAAGGCGGCUCACUGGUCCGGUACUGACGCUGAGGCGCGAAAGCGUGGGGAGCAAACAGG
This 253-nucleotide ribosomal RNA is filed under the name uncultured bacterium. RNAcentral's name for it is "partial 16S ribosomal RNA". It matches the Rfam family "Bacterial small subunit ribosomal RNA", at positions 524 to 776 of the family's 1533-position model. The record is from RNAcentral.